Molecule: ribosomal RNA, 493 nt
Filed under: uncultured bacterium
Lineage: Bacteria
Description: bacterial SSU rRNA
Rfam family: Bacterial small subunit ribosomal RNA
Source: RNAcentral
AUGAACGCUAGCGACAGGCCUAACACAUGCAAGUCAGGGGCAGCACAAGGAGCAAUCUGAGGUGGCGACCGGCGCACGGGUGAGUAACACGUGUGCAACCUGCCUGUAAGCGGGGAAUAACCCGUUGAAAGACGGACUAAUACCGCAUAAUACUAAAUUACUGCAUGGUAAUUUAUUUAAACAUUUAUGGCUUACAGAUGGGCAUGCGCAUGAUUAGCUAGUUGGAGAGGUAACGGCUCCCCAAGGCAACGAUCAUUAGGGGUUCUGAGAGGAAGGUCCCCCACACUGGUACUGAGACACGGACCAGACUCCUACGGGAGGCAGCAGUGAGGAAUAUUGGUCAAUGGACGAGAGUCUGAACCAGCCAAGUCGCGUGCAGGAAGAAUGUCCUAUGGAUUGUAAACUGCUUUUGCAGGGGAAUAAAGUGCAUCACGUGUGAUGUUUUGUAUGUACUCUGCGAAUAAGGAUCGGCUAACUCCGUGCCAGCAGCUGC